Molecule: non-coding RNA, 1120 nt
Organism: Cyanistes caeruleus (blue tit)
Lineage: Eukaryota; Metazoa; Chordata; Aves; Passeriformes; Paridae
Source: RefSeq, a predicted model, not a curated record
GCUCCCCAUAAAGCUCUCACUUCCAAGGCUGUGAGGAAGAGUUUGGGCUUUGUGCUCUGAGCUGCACACGUCUCUGAACUUGGAUGGUGCUUUUUUUCUGGUGUUGGAGGGAAGCAGAAUAGAAGUGUGGUUCCCCAAGCUUUCAAGUUAUAAAGUUCUGUAGUUUUGAGGAGGUCUGUUUGGUCUCUAUGUCACGUAAGGAGGAGGAGGAGAAGUCCUCAGAAUCAUGAAUACACGGCAAGCAGGUGAGUGAGCUCUUUGACCUCCCUGGUACUACUCAGCUGCUUUAAGUUAACCUUGAGUCUUGAGUGCUCUACCUACACCGAGAUCUACACUGAACUGCAAGUCUAUGCACCAUGACAACUGCGGAGAGAGAGACCAGAUUUAAAUAGCUUUUUCUAUAUAUCAGAAGAAAAGAAAUUGACUUUUGUUUAAUGUGUUUUUAUAUGAUUUAUAUUGAAGCAAUUCUGUCAAAAUAAAUAUUUACCAGAAGCAAAACAUGCCAGCCCACCAAAGUACUGAAAUGCAUAAUUGCAAGUAAAUGGAAGCAGACACUGAGGUGUUCCUGUGUUCUCUCAGCUGUAGUGGCUGUAGUUACAGGUUGCAGACCCUUUUUCAUCUUGGGGCAUUACUGGGGAUUCCAGUGGGCUUGGUCCUGGCUGCUGCCCACUGCCCCCAGCAGAAGGGACAGGGGUGAGGCAGUGCAAUGUGUCCAUGUGUGCUCUGGGUUUUGCCUAUGUGUGAGGAAGAUGCUGCUUUGCAGGGCUGGCUCUGUUGCUGCUGCUGGGCAGAAAGCAGGACAGGAGGAGCUCCUGACAAGUGCUGGGUGUGGGCAGGUACAGCAUUUACAGGCUGUUGAAAUUUAGUAGUGCCUUAAUUUCAGCUGCUGCUUCAGGGCUGGCCAGGAAAAUGUAUUGAAAUGAUUUGUUUGAUUCUAAAGCCAGCUUGGAUGAUGGUGAGAAUCUUUUAGGAGGGUACUUUGGUGUCCUGAGAGCUUUCAGCUUCCAGUCUAGCAGACACUAGCAUGGCAGCAGAGCUGCCAGCUCUGGUCACAGAGGAGGGAGGUGGCAUUUGAAGGCAGUGUUUGCUGCAAGCUUCCCAGAGAGCUCCUGCCUGCUGC